This 253-nucleotide ribosomal RNA is filed under the name uncultured bacterium. RNAcentral's name for it is "partial 16S ribosomal RNA". It matches the Rfam family "Bacterial small subunit ribosomal RNA", at positions 524 to 776 of the family's 1533-position model. The record is from RNAcentral.
UACGUAGGGUGCGAGCGUUGCCCGGAUUUAUUGGGCGUAAAGGGCGCGUAGGCGGCCAGACAGGUCCGUUGUGAAAACUCGAGGCUCAACCUCGAGACGUCGAUGGAAACCGUCUGGCUAGAGUCCGGAAGAGGAGAGUGGAAUUCCUGGUGUAGCGGUGAAAUGCGCAGAUAUCAGGAAGAACACCUAUGGCGAAGGCAGCUCUCUGGGACGGUACUGACGCUGAGACGCGAAAGCGUGGGGAGCGAACAGG